GGCGCCGAGGAAGCUGGGAGGCUGCCCUGCACCCAGAAAAGUAGAGCGGAUGAAGGGAGCUUGCUUCUGGAUUCAGCGGCGGUACGGGUGAGUAAUGCCUAGGAAUCUGCCUGGUAGUGGGGGAUAACGUCCGGAAACGGGCGCUAAUACCGCAUACGUCCUGAGGGAGAAAGUGGGGGAUCUUCGGACCUCACGCUAUCAGAUGAGCCUAGGUCGGAUUAGCUAGUUGGUGGGGUAAAGGCCUACCAAGGCGACGAUCCGUAACUGGUCUGAGAGGAUGAUCAGUCACACUGGAACUGAGACACGGUCCAGACUCCUACGGGAGGCAGCAGUGGGGAAUAUUGGACAAUGGGCGAAAGCCUGAUCCAGCCAUGCCGCGUGUGUGAAGAAGGUCUUCGGAUUGUAAAGCACUUUAAGUUGGGAGGAAGGGCAGUAAGUUAAUACCUUGCUGUUUUGACGUUACCAACAGAAUAAGCACCGGCUAACUUCGUGCCAGCAGCCGCGGUAAUACGAAGGGUGCAAGCGUUAAUCGGAAUUACUGGGCGUAAAGCGCGCGUAGGUGGUUCAGCAAGUUGGAUGUGAAAUCCCCGGGCUCAACCUGGGAACUGCAUCCAAAACUACUGAGCUAGAGUACGGUAGAGGGUGGUGGAAUUUCCUGUGUAGCGGUGAAAUGCGUAGAUAUAGGAAGGAACACCAGUGGCGAAGAGCGACCACCUGGGACUGAUACUGAACACUGAGGUGCGAAGCGUGGGGAGCAAACAGGAUUUAGAUCCCCUGGGAGUCCACGCCCGU
Molecule: ribosomal RNA, 792 nt
Filed under: Pseudomonas aeruginosa
Lineage: Bacteria; Pseudomonadati; Pseudomonadota; Gammaproteobacteria; Pseudomonadales; Pseudomonadaceae
Description: bacterial SSU rRNA
Rfam family: Bacterial small subunit ribosomal RNA
Source: RNAcentral